GUGGGGAAUAUUGGACAAUGGGCGAAAGCCUGAUCCAGCCAUGCCGCGUGUGUGAAGAAGGUCUUCGGAUUGUAAAGCACUUUAAGUUGGGAGGAAGGGCAGUAAGUUAAUACCUUGCUGUUUUGACGUUACCGACAGAAUAAGCACCGGCUAACUUCGUGCCAGCAGCCGCGGUAAUACGAAGGGUGCAAGCGUUAAUCGGAAUUACUGGGCGUACAGCGCGCGUAGGUGGUUCAGUAAGUUGGAAGUGAAAUCCCCGGGCUCAACCUGGGAACUGCUUUCAAAACUGCUGAGCUAGAGUACGGUAGAGGGUAGUGGAAUUUCCUGUGUAGCGGUGAAAUGCGUAGAUAUAGGAAGGAACACCAGUGGCGAAGGCGACUACCUGGACUGAUACUGACACUGAGGUGCGAAAGCGUGGGGAGCAAACAGGAUUAGAUACCCUUGUAGUCC
RNAcentral lists this ribosomal RNA (450 nucleotides) under uncultured bacterium. RNAcentral's name for it is "partial 16S ribosomal RNA". It matches the Rfam family "Bacterial small subunit ribosomal RNA", at positions 354 to 796 of the family's 1533-position model. The record is from RNAcentral.